RNAcentral lists this ribosomal RNA (273 nucleotides) under Malus domestica (apple). Its description in RNAcentral is "rRNA MD14G0064900". It matches the Rfam family "Bacterial small subunit ribosomal RNA", at positions 564 to 840 of the family's 1533-position model. Lineage: Eukaryota; Viridiplantae; Streptophyta; Magnoliopsida; Rosales; Rosaceae. The record is from RNAcentral.
AUCUUCUUGGGUAGAUAAUUGAUCAUCUUCAACUCCCAGGGCUCAACUUGGACAAGCGAUGGAAACUACCAAGUUGGAGUAUGGUAAGGGCAAAGGGAAUUUUCGGUGGAGUGGUAAAAUGCGUAGAGAUCGAAAGAACACCAACAGCGAAAGUGAUCUAUUGGGUCGACAUUGACACUAAGAGACAAAAGCCAAGGGAGAAAAUGGGAUUAGAUGCUCUAAUAACCUUAGCCGUAAACGAUGGUUAUUAGGCACUGUGCGUAUUAAGUAUCA